Molecule: ribosomal RNA, 1333 nt
Filed under: metagenome
Description: bacterial LSU rRNA
Rfam family: Bacterial large subunit ribosomal RNA
Source: RNAcentral
CCUAAGACCGAAGUACAUGAUUCCAUGCUUCCAAGAAAAGCAUCUAGAGAGAGAAGUAGAGCCCGUACCGCAAACCGACACAGGUAGAUGAGGAGAGAAUCCUAAGGCCGGCGGAAGAAUUGCAGUUAAGGAACUAGGCAAAUUGACCCCGUAAGUUCGCGAGAAGGGGUGCCUGUGAGAGCAGGCCGCAGAGAAUAGGCCCAAGCAACUGUUUAGCAAAAACACAGGUCUCUGCUAAAGCGUAAGCUGAUGUAUAGGGGCUGACGCCUGCCCGGUGCUGGAAGGUUUAGGGGAACACUUAGCGCAAGCGAAGGUGUGAACUUAAGCCCCAGUAAACGGCGGCCGUAACGAUAACGGUCCUAAGGUAGCGAAAUUCCUUGUCAGGUAAGUUCUGACCCGCACGAAUGGCGUAAUGACUUGGGCACUGUCUCAACUGCAAAUCCGGCGAAGUUGUAGUGCGAGUGAAGAUGCUCGCUACCCGCGAUUGGACGGAAAGACCCCGUAGAGCUUUACUGUAGCUUAGCAUUGAAUUCCGGUAUUGUCUGUACAGGAUAGGUGGGAGACUGGGAAACUAGGGCGUCAGCCUUAGUGGAGUCAACCUUGGGAUACCACCCUGACAGUACUGGGGUUCUAACAGGACGCCAUGAAGCUGGUGACUGGACAUUGUUAGGUGGGCAGUUUGACUGGGGCGGUCGCCUCCUAAAAAGUAACGGAGGCGCCCAAAGGUUCCCUCAGAACGGUCGGAAAUCGUUCGUAGAGUGCAAAGGCAGAAGGGAGCCUGACUGCGAGACCCACAAGUCGAGCAGGGACGAAAGUCGGGCUUAGUGAUCCGGUGGUACCUCGUGGGAGGGCCAUCGCUCAACGGAUAAAAGCUACCUCGGGGAUAACAGGCUGAUCUCCCCCAAGAGUCCACAUCGACGGGGAGGUUUGGCACCUCGAUGUCGGCUCGUCGCAUCCUGGGGCUGUAGUAGGUCCCAAGGGUUGGGCUGUUCGCCCAUUAAAGCGGCACGCGAGCUGGGUUCAGAACGUCGUGAGACAGUUCGGUCCCUAUCCGUCGCGGGCGUAGGAAAUUUGAGAGGAGCUGUCCUUAGUACGAGAGGACCGGGAUGGACUGACCUCUGGUGCACCAGUUGUUCUGCCAAGAGCAUGGCUGGGUAGCUAAGUCGGGAAGGGAUAAACGCUGAAAGCAUCUAAGCGUGAAGCCCCCCUCAAGAUGAGAUUUCCCAUAGCAUAAGCUAGUAAGACCCCUUGAAGAACACAAGGUUGAUAGGUCAGAGGUGGAAGUGCGGUAACGUAUGUAGCUGACUGAUACUAAUAGGUCGAGGGCUUGACC